UCGUGGGGUAAGCGGGGGGAGCGCGGUCGGGGAGAGGAGAAGGGGAGGGAGAGAGGGAGGGCGUCCGGGAGCGUCGGUGUUGGAUGCGGCCGGCCAGGGCCGGCUAAGGCCGCCGACGGCCGCUGCGCGUCGUGAGAGGGUACCGACGGAGGGAGCCGAGGCAGGAGGGGUGGUUGGUCUACGCAGCGCGAGGGUACUUUGGGAUCGGCGGCGCGCAGGCGAGGGACGGCCCGGUAGCGCAGCAGAGGAGGGGCGGGAGAGCCAGGAGUCGUCCUCCUCGCACCGAGUGGCGGCGUCGACGAGGCGCAGCGACGAAGGAGUAGCUCGAGCGUGCAGGGACAGUGGACCUCCUCGCCGGCGAGCGACGGCGCGGCAGCGUAGCAGAGGAGGAGGGGCGGGAGAGCCAGGAGUUGCCCUCCUCGCGCCGGGCGGCGGCGUCGACGAGGCGCAGGGGCAGCGGACCUCCUUGCCUCCGACGUCGAGGUCGUAGACGAGCUGGGAGAAAGGGAGCGGACGCUCGCCGAGUACCGUCGAGGCCUAGGUCACAGGUAGUGCACAAGAGGCACUACGCUCUAGCUGCCACCGGAAGAUGUAGUGCGCCCCCGGUACCGGCCAGUGGCGGACCACCCACGACCGAGCUUCCACUGCUCGAUGUUAGGGUCUCUUAGUCCCGACUGGAUUUCGAUGGCUAGUCGCACCUCCUACGGCCUGCCUCACGACUCCUCAAACGUUAUCGACUUAGUUUCCCUCACGGUGAACAGGUACAACCAGUCCUGUGUGCGAACCUGAUAGCUCAAUAACUACAAGCUUGUGAUCGUUUAGUUCGGUAAAAGGCAUAUGUCGUAGUACAACUUUUGUAACUAAGAAUCUACGUCGAGAAUUUAUACCUACUCUAUGGCCUUUCCUCUGAACACCAAGGUGAAAGAGAAUAUAGGAAAAAGAGCUGGACUAAAUGAAAAGACUAUUACGUUGUUCGACCUGUUAUUAAUCUCCCGUCGUCUACUCUGACCCAUAACAGCACCCUACACAGUCGUGUACGCACAGAGAGGGUAAUACUGCUGUACCGACGGAUAGAAGGGUCUUACGUCCGGAACUAGUUCUCCUUACUGAGGGGAGUCAAACAAGUAACAUCUUGGUAGUGACUCGUACUGAAAACAUUAACUUUCUUAUAUCUCAAAACGGAAUAUUUCAAGAGUCAGAACCAUGAAUGGAAGUCGGUUACUUCUUUGACUCAACCUUUCACUAGAGUUGUAUUUAAUUCACGUUUUUGUAGGGCGUCACCGUGUACUUCCCGCCGCGGCCUAGGCCGCGGCCUAGGUGUAGGUGUCGGUGCCGCGGCCGUGGGUACCUCACUGGCACACGAAGAAGAGGUACCUGUACCUCGAGGGUGUUGUGUGGUACCUUCCGGACCUCGAGGAAGAGUGCCGUCCACGUGGCGCAUGUCCUCCCUUCUGGUUGCGAGGAGGCCCAGACGAAGAAGGGCCCAGCGGCAACGAGGUGCCUUCCAAUUUACCAUUGGAAUGUUUACUAGGAAGAGAAACAUACUAGCUAUAAUCCUCCCGAAACGUCAAGGCCUACACGGCUACUCCAUCGAACGUAACCGAAACUGUAUACUCUGCCGUAACCGAAUGAGAUUUAUAGAACCCUCUGAGACUUGUAGUCCUGGUACACCUGAUUUGAACGUACACCCACGUGAUUCCUCUUCCAGGGUGAGUAGUUCCCUAUUGUUGAUUAACCAGCCUGAAACACUUCUGUCCCCAACCUAUUAAACCUCUUACAGAAACGCAAGUUCCGAUUUUCCCCGUUUCACAGCGAGCAACAGAUGGACAAAACUGUUCCAACCAAUGUUCCAACAGUAGUAUGAUAGGUACGUUUACAAAGGACACUAAAGUAGACGAUUUGUUACUACGUAAUCGUCUUGAUAUAUCCAAGUAACACUCGCAAGCGAACCUGAAUAGAGUGUGGCAACUAGACCGAGCGAAACCAAUACAUUAUUCGGUUGAUAACAUAGAUGAAUCACAACUAGGUAGUCGAACCGAAUGAAAACCUUGUAUGAUGCAUAAGGGGGUAAACAGUACUUGAAAAUCUAGAUUACAAAGUACGAAGACCAUAUAAACUACCGGAAUGGAAAACAGUAACAAACCUGUUUAACGAGAUGUGACCUGUGAAUACAUAGUUCCGUUACGGUACGAAGACUACGUUGGAAUAACAUAACCUGACUAGGUAAUAAACUCGUUAGUGAGAUUAAAAGGAAACGUUACCAAUUAUGUAACAAAUACGCGAACCUGUUAUUCAACUCAGUCCGUGGGCGCUCUUAACUAAACCACAUACCGUGACAUG
RNAcentral lists this ribosomal RNA (2340 nucleotides) under Triticum aestivum (bread wheat). RNAcentral's name for it is "partial small subunit ribosomal RNA". The record is from RNAcentral. Lineage: Eukaryota; Viridiplantae; Streptophyta; Magnoliopsida; Poales; Poaceae.